AUGGGUUUCAUCGUCGGGGACACGCUCGCGUCGGCGGUGGUGAAGGAGGCGGUGAACAUGAUCCGCGUCGCGGCCGAGCGCGAGGCGGGGCUGCUCUGGAGCUUCAAGGACGACCUGGGGGCCAUGGGGGACACGCUGGAGACCAUCCACGCGGCGCUCAGGGACGCGGACGCCGCCCGGGGGCCGGCGCCGGCGAGGAUGGACGAGAGGACGCGCCUGCUGCUCGGGCGCCUCAAGGCGGCGGCGCAAGACAUCGAGGACCUGCUGGAGGAGUUCGCGGACGCCGGCGCCCGGGGCCGCCGCAGCAACUGGCUCCGCGAGGGGCCCCGCUGCCGCUGGUGCUAUAAUAUAUCUCUGUCGCGCAGCAUCUUGGCUCACAAAAUGAAGAAGAUGAGGGAAAGAUUAGGACGAAUUCAAGCAGAUGCUGGCCUUGCUAGAUCCCAUGGUGGCACGAGUAGCGACCUCCAUGAUCAGGAUGAUGAUAUCAGCCGAAGAGAAACAUGGUCGGAUUUCAGAGAAUAUAUCGUGGGGAGAGAGGAGGACAGAGAAGCUGUAGUGAGCGCUUUGCUCAGGCACACCGAGAAAGAGCUCUCUGUUAUUUCGAUUCAUGGCUUUGGCGGUUUAGGGAAGACGACACUUGCCCGGCUGGCCUUCAAUGCUGAGCCUGUGAUUAGAGCCUUCGAUUGUAGGGUCUGGAUUCAUGUGUCUAUGAAAUAUGAUUUGAUAAAAAUUGGCAAGUCGAUACUUUCCAAACUUGAAGCAAAUUGUUCUGGUGAUUUGGAUCACUUGAAGACGCAACUGAAAGGAUUGCUCAAGGACAAGACCUUCUUGAUCGUUCUGGAUGACAUUUGGGAGGAAGACCCGCAUGAACUGCUGAAGUUGAUGGAUUUUCUGAAUGUUGGUGCAAAAGGAAGCAUGGUCUUAGUUACUACACGAUACGAGAAAAUCGCUAUAAACAUGGACCCUGUCCUGUGCCACAGGCUGGAGAGUUUAUCUGAUGGAGAAUGUUGGGAUCUUUUCAAGGAAACGGCCUUCGUCUCUCAAGCCAAAGAAGCAAGACUGCAACACAUCGGCAGAGACAUAGUAAAGAAGUGCAAAGGUGUUCCUCUGGCUGUGAGAUCGCUUGCAUUCGUACUAAAAUGGAAGGAAGGGGUUGAUGAGUGGGAAGAUAUCAGGGAUAGUCACCUCUGGGAAUUGGAGGAAAAACAGGAUAUAUCUUUUGAGAGUGUCCUACCAUCAUUGAAGUUGAGCUUUCAACAUAUGUCUGCCACCUUGAAAUUAUGCUUUGUGUAUUGCUCUGUCUUCCCAAAAGGCAGUUACAUUGAUAAGGACUUGCUGAUCCAACAAUGGAUUGCACUUGGGUUUAUUCGGCUUAAUGAGGCGUUCCAUCCUGAAAGGCGCGGUGAGGAGUAUGUUAAACAACUUUUGGGGAUGUCCUUCCUUCAGAUUUCAACUACACAAACACCUAUUUCCAGGAAAUGUAUUGAAGCACCACAUGUAUUCCGUUUGCAUGACCUAGUAUAUGACUUGGCAAGAUCGCUGGCGAUGGUGGACCUACUUUUCCUUGACACUGAGAGUAACCUUAAAGUUAGUUCCACACACAGUGAUUGCCGUUAUGCAGUGCUCACCAAUUGCAAUCCAACAACUCUCCGUAACAACAUGAUGAGAAAACUGAGGGCUCUCCAUGUUAACGAAUGGAAGCAAGAAAAGAUCCCUAACAAAAUAUUUUCUACUAAAUUCUUGAGAGUCUUGAAUUUAAGUGGAUGUUCUCUUUUGGUGCUGCCAAGUUGCAUCAAACAGUUGAAGCUACUGAGGUACCUUGAUGCUUCAGGAAUGCAAGAUCAAACGCUUAAUCACUUGAGCAGUCUGCAGAAUUUACAGGCAUUAAAGCUCUCAGGUAGCUUGAUUGGGGCACUUCCACAUGACAUGGGUUCUCUUGAGAAGCUGCGUUACUUAAAUCUGAGUGGUUGUUCUAAUCUUUUGGUACUGCCAGAAUCAUUAUGUAGUCUUGGAAAGUUGCAGUAUCUAGACAUGUCGAACUGCUCUGCAAUUAAGGAGUUGCCUCCACAUUUUGGCAAUCUUUUUAGCCUGUCAACUCUGGAUUUAUCAUCUUGUUGCGACUUAACAAAGCUUCCAGAGAGUCUUGGUAGCCUUCAAAAGCUUCGUGUUCUAGAUCUUUCAAACUGUUGGAAACUUGAUGCAUUGUCUGAUUCUUUUGCUAAACUUGAUCAUUUGAAGGGUCUAAAUUUGUCAUGUUGUUAUCAACUUAAAGAGCUACCAGAACUAUUUGGCAACCUUGAGACUCUGGAUCUGUCAGAUUGUCACAAGCUUCAGAAAUUGCCUGAAUCUAUUUCUGGACUUAAAAAUUUGAAGGUACUAAUUCUAUCUGACUGCUGGGAACUAACUGUACUUCCUGAGUCAUUCGGGAAUCUCAAACAACUCCAGUAUCUAGACCUGUCAAGUUCUCAGAUUUCUGCAUUGCCUGAAUCUGUUAGUGAACUUGUCAAUUUAGAGCAUAUGAAUAUAUCAUGGUGCACGGAUCUUCAUAAUUUACCUGGUAACUAUGGCAAUUUAGUCAAACUUGAAGAGCUGAACAUGUCAUACAUUGGCAAUGGUAAUGUCAACAUUCCGAAGGGAAUAGCUGAAAUGUCCAAUCUCAAGAUUCUGCUGGCGGAUGGCCUUAUCAAUUGGUCAUGGGAAAAUGAAGAAGAUAUCGUGUUCUUUAAUGCUUUAAGUAGCUCCAGGUCUAGUUUUUUCUUUACUGGGGAGAAUAAACCAAGUGAUUUAAGCAUAAAGGAUAAUACUCUUCAAGUUGGAGAUCUUGGGCGUGUGCAGAAUCUUGCGGAAGUUGAGGAACUGCAAUUAUCGAAAAGGCGGCAGCUGCGCUCACUGAUUGUCUCGGGGCAUGGUUAUGGGACUGGUACAGAACUAGCACAAGAACUUGUGCCUCAAGAGGCCGUGCUUGAGAAAUUGCAACCUCCAAGGACACUAGAGCGGUUUGAAUUGUUGGGCUGUACUAUUUCUACAUUUCCUAGUUGGAUGACAGACAUUGCAUCUUUCCUCCCAAACCUUGCUCACCUUGAACUACGCCAUCUGGAAACAUGUGGCUGCCUUCCACCCCUUGGACAACUGCCUAAGCUACAUAUGUUGGUGAUAUCUGACAUGCCUCACAUCAAGGAAGUCAAUCAAGAAUUCUCAGGGGGUGCUAGACCAUUUCAGAAGUUAAGAAACAUUGUGAUAGAGAAUAUGCCAAACCUGGAGAAAUGGCACACAGAUGCUACUGUAAGUGGCAAUGAUGUGGAAUUCAUGUUCCCAGUUCUUCAUCAUGUGAAGAUACACAAAUGUCCAAAGUUGAGAUUUCAGCCGUUCCUUCCUCGAUCUGUGUCAUUGGAAAUUUAUAGAAGCAAUCAAGUUCUAUCGUCAGGAGUUCGAUCAAAUGGCCAUUUGUAUUACAUGCCAACAAUAAGGGUGCUGAUCGAUUCCUGCACACUAUCUUCUGAUGGUUUGAUGGGGUUGCAGUCUCUUACCUCCCUCAAGUUCCUCGGUGUGCGCCACUGCAAAGGUCUGGAUAACUGGAGAGGUAGCAUUGCCAUGCUAACUUCACUGAAGAGUUUAGAUAUAGCAAUGAGCAGUGUUCCUGAAUGCUUGGGAGGCGUCACUUCACUGGAGUGUCUGAAAAUCCACAACUGCCUAGUAAAUUAUAACACUCUAGAGCAAGUACUACAUCUUACUGCAUUGGUGGACCUGUCGCUUUGUUGUAGCCACCCGACUAAAUUAGUAAAUGACCAAGAGGUCAAUUGGUUGACGAAUAUGGCAUCCUGUCUCAAGAAUCUUGUAAAUCUUGAGCUUGACAAUUUCAUUGGCUGCGACCGACUUCCCCCCCUUGGCUGUCUAGAAAAGCUACGUUCAUUGACACUACGACAGAUGCCUGAUCUCAAGACAGUGCAUCAGGAUAUUUCCGGGGGCAGCAAUUGUUUGCCGAUGCUACAAACCCUCAAGAUAGGGAGCAUGCCUAAUCUUGAAAGGUGGACUACCGCGCAUGCUCCUGCAGCACAUGCUGCUCAUGUGAGGAUCUUACCUGAUCUUCAACUACUCAAGGUUUUUGACUGUCCAAAGCUUAAGUUUGUGCCAUUUCUUCCAGUCUGCUCAAAGUGCAUUAUCAGUGUGACUAGUGACGUAAUAGUGCCGGAGCACCAUGAUGAUCCUGCUCCCUGGGACAUGCCCACAUCAGAACUAUUCUGCUUCUAUUUACAUGGUAGAUGCACAGGACUCCAAUACUUCAAAGUCCUGAGAUUACUAUCAGUUUAUGGCUGUACAAAUAUGAGCAGUUGGCAAGAAAGCAUCCUCCUCCUUACCUCCCUUCAGAAACUGGAGUUGCAUGGGAGUGACAUGCCUGGAUGGUUGUGUAAACUCUCCUCACUGCGUGAACUUCACAUCAUAAAGAGCAAACCACCGCUCAACCUAUCCCAGUUUGUUUAUGAUCGUCACCAGAUUGCCUUGAGAAUCGAGGAUUGCCAGGGGACACUCAAGCAGGUGCCUUCUGUGGUGAUUUUGGACAUGAUAAGACACAUUACUUUUGUGGAAAUAAUUGGUUGUGAGCCGAUAAUGCAUGCAGAGUGGCGAAAUGGUGAACUCUUCAAGUGCAAACUUCGAAAGUCCAGUGAGUGGUACAUGCCGGAUGCAGAUGCUGGGUCACUGCCGACCAUCCUUGGCACAUGGCAAGAGGAACCGACAGAGUUCCUCUCUGGUGAUGCAGCCAACCCUGACCAACCAGGCCCUUCAGGAACCAAGUGA
This 4794-nucleotide ribosomal RNA is filed under the name Triticum aestivum (bread wheat). RNAcentral's name for it is "partial small subunit ribosomal RNA". Lineage: Eukaryota; Viridiplantae; Streptophyta; Magnoliopsida; Poales; Poaceae. The record is from RNAcentral.